Molecule: unclassified non-coding RNA, 1808 nt
Filed under: Hevea brasiliensis (rubber tree)
Lineage: Eukaryota; Viridiplantae; Streptophyta; Magnoliopsida; Malpighiales; Euphorbiaceae
Source: RNAcentral
GAAAAAUUUUAAAAAUUAUUGGUGUUUUCAGAACUUUUCUUUCAAUUAUGAUAUUUUUUUUUCUAAUUUUAAUACAUGAACAUGAUAUUUCCAUAUCUGUAUCAAUUCAAUUUAGUUCUUUACCCACUCUACAGUUGUGAACCAGAUUUUCCUCCAUAAGAUUGUGACUCAUACAAUUAAAGAUCAUAUGGACAAUUCUCUACGCUCUAGUCUGAUUUAUUGGAGGAAUAUUGCAGAUCUCCAGAGGCAGAAACGCUAGGCAGUGUUCCACAAUCAUAGCUUGCAGCAUUAAAGACCUUAGAGAAGAGGAAUCCAUAGAAAAUUACAUCCCUUAAAAAUUUCAUCCACCACUGAGAACCAGCUUGCUGAACCCAACCUGACAAAUACGACCCAGUGAUGAGCCCAGCAACACGCCACCUCCUUUCUUUCACAUACCCAUCUAUAGCUCUGGCUACGUCCUCCUCAACAAGAACUUGUCUAUUCUUGAUAAAAGAAUUUCCUAUGUGCCUGCCCAAUACAAUUGCAUCCUCUAGAGCUGAACAUCCACCUUGUCCUAGAUCAGGCGUCAUUGGGUGCAUAGCAUCACCUGCCACUGUGAUAUUUCCUUUGCUUGGAUUUCCAAAUAUGAGAUUCCAUGGAGUUCUCAACAUCAAUGGAGCCCAUGUCAAUGUUGAGAGAUCAGCAUGUCGGACUACGUCUAAGUAUUGUGAUGGAAAAUUCUUUGCAUACUUCUCAAUCACUUGUUUCUGUAUUAGUUCUGGGUCUCUUGCCAUGUUUUCUCCUGAAAUGAAAAUAGAACAUUUUUCUUUUCAAUCCAAUGGUUCAGAGCUAAUGGGAAUUGGGAACAAAAUGACGGAUAAAAGAAAGCAGUGAAGAGAAUUGUACUUAACCUUCAGGGCAAUAAGUUAAAAACCAGUAAAUUUCUUUGUGGUUUAAAGGGACGAAACCAGCCCUUUUGCCAACAUCCACAAAUUGCUCGACUUCUUGCUUCAUCCCAUGGCCUUGUGGAAAAAUUGCCAAUCCACGCACUGCUGCUCGACCUGAAUGAAUUGGAGCAGAGAGUCCUAGCCAUUUGGCCACCACAGAGUUCACCCCAUCACAACCGAUCAAAACCUUUGAUUUGAUAGUAGUUCCAUCUUCCAAAUGAAGUACACAAAUGGAAGAAUCUCCAAGUUCUUGCUUUUCAAUAGCCGUGAACUUUGAAGAAAAUCGAAUUGAAUCUUGAGGCAAUUCUUGUGCUAGAGCCUCUAAUAAAGCUUUGCGAUGAACUGAUCUGGGUCCCUGAUGAGCUUUGCUUCCGUUUCCAGAGAAGAAGAUUUCUUGAACAGCUCCAGUAGCUACUCUGGUUACAGACCCCCUUAUGGUAGGAGUAUAAAGGGGAGUAAGUUUAUGAGAAACGCCAAGAGCAUCAAGGGCAAGCCAAGCAUUUGGAAAGAGAGUUAAGGCUGAACCAGUGGACCUUAACGUUUCUGAUCUUUCUAAGAUCAAAGCUCGAACCCCAACUCUCUUCAAAGCUACAGCAGUGGCCAGCCCAGCAAUCCCAGCACCAACGAUCACCACGUCUUCGACAAUUUCCAUCACUGUGUCCUCUAUUCUCUGUUUGGUGGCGUAUAGUAAUGUGUACAUAUAUAUAAUGCAACUGCAUCUAUAAUUUAUAGAACCUCAUAGAGACAUCAUAUUUGACAGGAUUUGAGCAUACUACUUUCAAUGCUACAGUGAAUGGAGCCAGAGAUCAUAAUUUUUUUUUAAAUUAUAUUUUAUUAAACCUCUUUUGGAUAAAAAUAUAAAAACAGGGCGGCUAUUUACAU